AUAUGUUCUCUUUUAGAGAAAGUCCUGAAUGCAUCUGAAAAAUAUGUAUUCUGAUGUUGUGGGAUACAACACUCUGCAGAUUCACUAAUCAUGACCUUUAUUAUGGUCAUCAUCUCUGAAGUGAAACUGAGUUAUUCACCAGGCACAGCAGUUUGCAGCGUCCAUUGUUCCAUUCUGCUGGUGUGUUUCUCUUUGGAGCCCUCUGUAGUCACCAGUAGUCAAUGUACCUCUACAGGUUUGAGCCACCCCUCCCACACUACAGCUCAGAGAGAAAGUGCCACUCCUCACUUCCCAUGUCUGCACUUGGUCCCUCUCCUUUCUCUCUCUGCGGGCCCUAAUUCUCACCUCAGAUACUUGCUCAGUCCUGGGAAGCCACUUCUCUCUUCUUCCCCUUGCGCUCUUCUAGCAUCUGGAUUCCAAAUAUCAGAGAAGAUGUGUCACCAUCCUCCUGCCAUCCCAGAAGGCCUGCUUGCUUCUUUAAUCCUAUAUUAAACUAAACUAUAACACAACAA
Molecule: long non-coding RNA, 512 nt
Organism: Cavia porcellus (domestic guinea pig)
Lineage: Eukaryota; Metazoa; Chordata; Mammalia; Rodentia; Caviidae
Exons: 2
Source: RefSeq, a predicted model, not a curated record